This 152-nucleotide ribosomal RNA is filed under the name Bacillariophyceae sp. RCC4834. RNAcentral describes it as "partial 18S ribosomal RNA". It matches the Rfam family "Eukaryotic small subunit ribosomal RNA", at positions 1680 to 1831 of the family's 1831-position model. The record is from RNAcentral. Lineage: Eukaryota; Bacillariophyta; Bacillariophyceae.
ACCUACCGAUUGAAUGGUCCGGUGAGGCCUCGGGAUUGUGGUCUGGUUGCUUUAUUGGAACCUGACUGUGAGAACCUGUCCAAACCUUAUCAUUUAGAGGAAGGUGAAGUCGUAACAAGGUUUCCGUAGGUGAACCUGCGGAAGGAUCAUUA